UAUAUUGUUUUUUAAUUUAAUUUAUAUGCUCUACUUCUCUUUUUAUAUUUUUUAUAUUUCAUACAUUAACUACUUUCUUAAUAAGAUUUAGCUAAGUGUGCGGCUGUACAUUUUUUAUUCCAAUCAAAGACCAUAACGCGUCCAAGAAAAAAAGUUCAUUACAGCAUCGGAUCUAUGCAUAUAAAUUUCAUUUUCUAAUGGUUAACGAUAUAAAGAUUUCUUUUAACUAAUGUCUCCUUCGUAGAGAUUUUAUGUGAAUUAUUAUGCGAAUAGAAUUCAACCACAGUUACAAGGAAUGAGCAAGACAUGAAUCUGUUAAAAAGUAAAAAUAAUAAUCUUGCUUCUGGAAGAAACAAAUGUUAUAAUUCUCUUGAAAAUUUUUUAUUCAAAGCAUUAGAAAACUGAUUCACUCCGCAUAGAUGAUCAAUCAUUUUACUGAAAGAGAGAGCGCAUUAUUUUCAACAACGAUAAGAAGAAGCCGACGAUACAAAAAUCAUGAAAGAUUUGGGAAGACACCGUCUUCUUUUUAUUCACUCUGGGAAGAAACCAUGUGCAUUAAUAUUCCAUCAAAAGAAUUGAAAAAUGAAUGCAUUUUAGUUAUUUAUAAAUUAUUUUCUACAAUAAUUCUUAUUCAACUAUAAUCUCUUGCAUCUUUUUGACCAGUAUCAGUAUACAUUUAAAUUCUUGUUUCAGUUUUGGAGAUUUCUAAAACUAAUGCAGAGAAGUGUAAUGCCUAUUACUAUCGUUAUAAAAAUUUAUCUGAAAGAACGUACUCAUCACAAACAAACAUGGAACGUUGUAAGGCGUAUAGGCUGCGAAAAGAAAUGUUUUGUUACGCAAAAGAAGUAUAACUUCUUAGGUGCGCACAUAAGUCCACACACCAGUUUUUAUUGUACUGAUCGAAGCUAUUUCUUCUUGUUCAGUUAACUUCUUUGGUCGAACUGAACGGUAUUUAUUUUUAUAAUUCCUUCAGAUUUCGAUUUUUUAAUUAAGUAAUGUAUCAUAGAUCUAUUAACAUUUAAUAACACCACCUCAAAACCCUGAUAUUAAUCCGAUUGAACAUCUAUGGGCAAUAAUAGGAAAAGAAUUACAAAAAUUUAAUAUAACAUUAAAAACAAGUUUAAAAGACAAAGUACUCGAAGUAUGGAGCUCCAUAUCACUAAGUAUUACGGAAAAUUUUGUAAAGAGUAUGCAUAAUCGCUUACAAGAUAUUAUUCGUGUUAAAGGUUGUCCUACUAAAUAUUAAAGGCUUAACAAUUAUCUGUCCAAAUACUUUAGUGGCUUCAGCAAUCGGUCUUUUAAAAACUUUUAGGAUAAUUAAAUUAGCUUUUUGAAAAGUAUUUAAAAUAUUUUUAUUAAACUGUUAUUGAUCAAAGUCUUUUGACGAUAAGAAAUCAUCAAUAUAUAUUGUGUUAUAAGAAACUUAGAAUAAUAGGAACUCAUCUAGUUUAAAUCAGAUUGAGCUAAAUUAGGAAACAGUAAAACUGACUUGAUAUUUAGAGAAAAGUAUAUUUUCGAAAUAUUGAAACAAAGCGCUUGUUAUUAAUCUUGUCGAAUCAUAAACAUUGGAAACCUUGGCCGGGUUAAUUUCAAAUUUAACGUUGGAUUAUAUAGAAAAAUGUUAAAUUUGAUGGCAUCUACCUUACCGACACAAGCUUUAAAGCUUAAUUAUUGAUUUAGAAGUCAGAAAAAGCUUCCUUUUAUUAUUAUUAACUUAAAAAUACCACGGUAUUAUUUUGUAGCAAGAUUUGAUAUUUUUAUAACGAUUUAUAAAUAAAAUUUGUAAACAAAAAGAGAAAAUUUUGUGCGAAAACAACGAUAAUAAUAAUGAAAAAAAUAUAAUCUACGUUUCUGCAUGGAGUGCAGAAUUCCUUAGUACACCAAAGGAAAUAAUAAAAGCUUUAUCUGUUGAAAAGUUUUAUACUCCUACAACAAUACAAUCUUUAAUAUUGCCACCAGCGAUAUUUGGAAGAAGAAAUAUUCUUGGAGCUGCUGAAAAAGGCAGUGGGAAAACUUUAGCAUUUGGUAUUCCUCUAUUUUAAAUGGUAUAUUAGAAUUAAAGAAAAAACAUUUACACACACACAGAAAACAAGGUGAUGGAUUAGAAAAUGAAAGCUACGAGGAAGAAUUGGAAUGUUCCAAUGAUGAAGAUUCUAAUGGGAGUGAGAGUUCUGAAGAAAGUGAGGAAGAAGUAGAUAAAAAUUUUGAUAAUGUUGGUGGGAUUGGAUGUGUACGUGUGACAUAUAAUGUAAAAAUGAAGGAAAAAAAAAAAUGAAUUCUUUGCAAAAACCAAUUUACGCAUUGAUAUUAACGCCAACCAGAAAAUUAGAUAUUCAAGUAAAAGAUCAUCGUGUUAAAGCAGCCAAAUAUACUGAUAUAAAGGUAAGAAAAA
This 2392-nucleotide long non-coding RNA is filed under the name Polistes fuscatus (common paper wasp). RNAcentral's name for it is "uncharacterized LOC122521777, transcript variant X3". The record is from RNAcentral. Lineage: Eukaryota; Metazoa; Arthropoda; Insecta; Hymenoptera; Vespidae.